ACGACUACAUUAGAUACCCCUGUAGUCCCAGCCCUAAACGAUGCGCGUUAGGUGUAUCGGUGACCACGAGUCACUGAGGUGCCGAAGGGAAACCGUGAAACGUGCCGCCUGGGAAGUACGGUCGCAAGGCCGAAACUUAAAGGAAUUGGCGGGGGAGCACCACAACGGGUGGAGCCUGCGGUUUAAUUGGACUCAACGCCGGGAAGCUCACCGGAUAAGACAGCGGAAUGAUUGCCGGGCUGAAGACCCUGCAUGACCAGCUG
This 263-nucleotide ribosomal RNA is filed under the name uncultured archaeon. RNAcentral's name for it is "partial 16S ribosomal RNA". It matches the Rfam family "Archaeal small subunit ribosomal RNA", at positions 716 to 982 of the family's 1478-position model. The record is from RNAcentral.